GUGCUCUAUUUGGCAGUGUGAAUACUGAAAUUUGAAUGAUACAGACAAGAUUUCAUAUGCCCCCUUGGAAGAAUGACAUGUAAAUUUAUGAAGUGUUCUAUAUUUCG
This 107-nucleotide small nuclear RNA is filed under the name Microtus ochrogaster (prairie vole). The record is from RNAcentral. Lineage: Eukaryota; Metazoa; Chordata; Mammalia; Rodentia; Cricetidae.